GUAGUCCACGCCGUAAACGUUGGGAACUAGAUGUGGGGGCCAUUCCACGGCUUCCGUGUCGCAGCUAACGCAUUAAGUUCCCCGCCUGGGGAGUACGGCCGCAAGGCUAAAACUCAAAGGAAUUGACGGGGGCCCGCACAAGCGGCGGAGCAUGCGGAUUAAUUCGAUGCAACGCGAAGAACCUUACCAAGGCUUGACAUAUACGAGAACGCUUCAGAAAUGAAGAACUCUUUGGACACUCGUAUACAGGUGGUGCAUGGUUGUCGUCAGCUCGUGUCGUGAGAUGUUGGGUUAAG
Molecule: ribosomal RNA, 296 nt
Filed under: uncultured bacterium
Lineage: Bacteria
Description: partial 16S ribosomal RNA
Rfam family: Bacterial small subunit ribosomal RNA
Source: RNAcentral